CCUACGGUGCGCAGCAGUGGGGAAUAUUGGACAAUGGGGGGAACCCUGAUCCAGCGACGCCGCGUGAGUGAAGAAGUAUUUCGGUAUGUAAAGCUCUAUCAGCAGGGAAGAAAGAAAUGACGGUACCUGACUAAGAAGCCCCGGCUAACUACGUGCCAGCAGCCGCGGUAAUACGUAGGGGGCAAGCGUUAUCCGGAUUUACUGGGUGUAAAGGGAGCGUAGACGGCGAUGCAAGUCUGAAGUGAAAGGCGGGGGCCCAACCCCUGGACUGCUUUGGAAACUGUAUGGCUGGAGUGCAGGAGAGGUAAGUGGAAUUCCUAGUGUAGCGGUGAAAUGCGUAGAUAUUAGGAGGAAAACCAGUGGCGAAGGCGGCUUACUGGACUGUAACUGACGUUGAGGCUCGAAAGCGUGGGGAGCAAACAGGAUUAGAUACCCUUGUAGUC
Molecule: ribosomal RNA, 443 nt
Filed under: uncultured bacterium
Lineage: Bacteria
Description: partial 16S ribosomal RNA
Rfam family: Bacterial small subunit ribosomal RNA
Source: RNAcentral